GUAGGAGUGAGCCUGCUCGCGAUGGCGUCAGGUCAGUCAAUUCAUUUCUGGCUGACACUCCGCUAUCGCGAGCAGGCUCACUCCUAC
RNAcentral lists this unclassified non-coding RNA (87 nucleotides) under Pseudomonas sp. LAMO17WK12:I5. Lineage: Bacteria; Pseudomonadati; Pseudomonadota; Gammaproteobacteria; Pseudomonadales; Pseudomonadaceae. The record is from RNAcentral. RNAcentral also lists the same sequence under 1 other name.